Long non-coding RNA from Rhinolophus ferrumequinum (greater horseshoe bat), 4141 nucleotides. RefSeq lists it as uncharacterized. The record is from RefSeq and is a predicted model, not a curated record. NCBI's taxonomy places the organism in Eukaryota, Metazoa, Chordata, Mammalia, Chiroptera, Rhinolophidae. The transcript is spliced from 3 exons.
GGAGCCGUAGGCAACGGUGGAGCCUACGACCCUGCUCGCACUCCAGCCGGCGGGAGGGACGCGUCCAGGGUUUUCGCAAGAUCCAGCUGAUAGUCCCUGGAAUCUGGUGGCGCGCAGCGUGGACGGCAGCAGGUGUCCGGUCAGCGAGUUGCGGAGGAUAGUGCGGGUAGCAGAGGGAGGGCGAGUGCCCCUGCGGCCCCAGACUGCGACCAGAACAUGCAUCACGGUUAGAACCAUCACCCUGAAGCUAGCUUGGACACCAUUAAAAGGGCUCAUCAGCUGCAAACGGAUAAAAGUAUCUGAUAUUUGUGAAGACAGUUUCAGGGCUUCUACCUGGAGCUACACUCUCCAGAAGCCCCCGCUUGGCUUCCCUGCACCCAACCCUACCCCAACUGGUCACAACUUGGCUGUAUGUGGUGUUUCUUGGCAACUGGACCAGACUCCUCCAGCAGCUCCACAGGCCCCUUGUCUUCUGUGGGCAGAAGACUGCAGAAGCUGGCUACUGAAGAGGCUGUCCAAGUGAUAGAGCUCCUCCUUGGGCUCCUUAGCACACUUACCACAGAGCAGUGAGUGCUGGCUGUUACUCAUUUGUGCUCACCACCUGCAGGGACUUCAGAGGGAUUGUCAGACCCUGUUGAGCUAAGGGCUGCCCUCUAAGGAUCUCCACAGGAGGCUGCCCAUAGGGAGAGGUGGCCUACCUAGGGUCUCCACUGCCUUAGGUUCUACAUGGACACCGCCAGGGCUGAGGGAAUCAGUAUCUCUUCACCUACCUGUAAUCCACAUAGCAACUGGAAAAUUCUGCCUCCUGUUGUUUGUCCUUUUGUUCGUUUUUUGCGGUAGGAAGAGUUUUAACUGCUGCUUCAAUUCCUUUAGUAGUUAGAGGACGAUUCAGGAUUUCUUUUUCUUUUUGAGUCAGUUUUGGUAAGUUCAAGUGUGCUAGGAAUUGGUCCGUUUUGUCUGCGUUCUCAAAUUUAUUGGCUUAAACUUCCCUUAUAUUUUUUAUUCUCUGCGGUAUAUAAUCUGUAGUUAUGUCUCCUUUUUCAUUGCUGAUAUUGGUUAUUUGUGCCUUCUCACUUUUUUUCUUGAUCAAUCUCGCCAGAGGUUUGUCUAUUUUAUUAGUGUUUUCAAAGAACCAACUUUUGGCUUUGUUGCUUCUCUCUAUUGUAUCUUUGUUUUCUAUUUCUUUAAUUUCUGCUCUUAUCUUUUUUGAUCUCCUUCCUUCUACAUUUUUUGGAUUUAUUCUGUUGUUCUUUUUUUAAUUUGAUACUGAGCUCAUUGUCAGCCUUCCUUGUUUUUUGAUUUGUGCGCUUAAGGAUAUAAAUUGCCCUCUAAAUACUGCUUUUCUGUAAGUUCAGACAUGUCUUAUUUCAUCAUUGUUCGGUUCCGAGUACUUCAAUAUUUCCAUCAUGUUUACUUCUUUGACCUGUGAGUUGUAUAGAAGUAUGUUUUUAAAUAUCUAAAUGUUUGGGGAUUUUAAAAUUUAUCUCUUUGUAAUUGAAAUCUGUCUUAAUUGUAUUAUGGUUAGAGGGUGUGGUCUGUAUGAUAACAACUCUGAAAUUUAUUGAGACUUGAUUAUGGCUUAGUAUGUGAUUAAUAUUUUUGAAUGUUUCCUAUGUGCUUUAUAAGAAUUAUGUUCUUUAAUUGUUGAAUACAGAGUUCUCUACAUGUCUAUUACCAAGUUUGUUAAUUGUAUUGUGCAAAUUUUCUAUAUCUACACUGAUUUUUUUGGUCAUCAUAUACCAAUAAUUGUAAGAGGUACGUUAAUAUUCAACUGUGAUGGUGGAUUGGUCUACUUCUCCUUGUAGUUCUUAUUUUUUAAUUUUCUAUAUUUUGAGGAUAUUUUAUUAGGAAUAUUCAAAUUAAGAAUUGUUAUAUAUUCCUGGUAAAUAUGUAAUGACCCUCUCUAUUCCUGAUAAUGCAGUUUUCCUUGAAGUCUAUUUUACCUUACAACACAAACUUUUCUUCUUGUUAGGAUUUAUGUGGUAUGUAUUUUUCCAUCCUUUUACUUUUCAACAUUUUCAUGCCCUUAUGCUUUAAUUGUAUCUCUUGGGUAUGGCAUGUGGCUGAACCUUUUUUAAAAAGCUAAUCUGAUGAUCCCUGUCUUUUAAUGAACAAGUUUAAUCUGUUUACAUUUACCAUGAUAUAUUUGGACUGGUUUCUACCAUCAUACUUUUUUAUUUCUAUUUCCUACCCCUUUUCUGUACUUCAUUUUUCUUUUCUUGCCACUUUUUCAGUUUUGAGAUUUGUUUGAUUUCUUAUUCAAUUUUUUUUCUCCCUCCUGUUUGGAAUUUACAUGUUCUUUUACUAUUCUUUCUGUGGUUAUCCUGAAAUUUUACCAUGCAUGUUUAACUUUAAGAUCCAAAGUUAAACUGUACUUUAACCACCCUCUUGAAGAACACAGGAACUUUCAGCUGUAGUCAUCCCUCUCUUGACCACAUGCUGUUGCUUUGAAUAUGUUGAUUUGCUCCUUUUUUUUCUAACCUCAGAAAAUCUACAUCAUCAUUAGUAUUAUUUUAUAUGGACAGUGUUUGUUUGGAUUUACAUGCAUACAUUCUUGCAUCUCAGACCAUCAUUCUGGGAUCAUUUUCCUUCAUUAUGAAUAUAAUAUUUAGAUAUUCUUUUAGUGCAGAUCUCUUGGUGUUAAAUUCUCCCCGUCUUCUUUUAUCCUCAUUGUUAAAAGAUAGUUUGUUAUAGGUAUUUAGAAGUCUGCUAUCAGUCUAGUUGCUGGUUUUUUGUAGGUGUUUUUGUUUUCUUAUAUUCUGUCUACUCUUAUUUAUUUAUUUAUUUAUUUAUUUAUUUAUUUAUUUAAUUCUGGCUACUUUUAAGAUCUUUUCUCUCUUUUUUUGGAGGGGGAUGUGCAGGGGUCUCUGCAGUUUCAUUCUAAGCUGUUUCAGCAUGUAUUUCUUUUUCAUUUAUUCUACUUUGGAAAUGUGUUUCAUGCCUCUGGAUUUAUGUUUUUCAUAAUUUCUAGAAAAUUCUCAGCCAUUUCUUCAAAUAUUGCCUUUCUCUCAUUCUUUAUAUAUUUUCUUUCUCAGAAUCCAGUUACUCAUAUUUUGGACCUCCUCAUUAUAUCUUCCAUAUCUCAUAACAUCCCAUUGAUAUUCUCUGUCUCCUUGUCUUCCUGCACAUAAUUCUGGGAAAUUUCUUCAGAUCUAUUUUUCAGCUUACUGAUUCUUUCUUCAGCUAUGUCUGAUCUGCUGUUGAAUCUGUCCACUAAGUUUUUUAUUUCAACAGUUGUGUUUUUCAUUUGUAUGAGCUCCAUAUAUUUCACUUUCUAAUCUGCCUCGUCCCUAAUAGUCUCUUGUUACUCGUUCAUGUUUGUAGUUGCGUCUGUUGUUUCUUUAAACAUUUUAUAUAAUUUUUGUUUAACCAAUAAUCACUGUUUGCAUAAGUACGACACUGUAAAUAUAAUUCACAAUCUAAACCACAUAGUACACUCUGAUUAUAUAGCCUUUGUUGUAUACCUUUUUGUUUUCUUGGUAAUUAUCUGUGUUUUCUUUUGCCUAGUGUUAUAAUAUCUAUUACUAAUUCUUUGAAAUUUUUUAAAAAUCCAUAUCAGAUUAUUUCCCUCCUCUGCCCAAAUUCUCCCUUGGCUCCCAGCUCCCUCAGAAUAAAAGUCAAAGCCUUUGCCGUGGCCCAAAAGUCUCUACCCAGCCUGUCCCCAGCCCCUCUCUGACUUCAUGUCCUGUCACUGUCCCCCAUCACUUACUCAUCCCCAGCCACGCUGGCCUACUCGCUCUCCCUCAAACAUGUCAGGUACCCUCCCUCUUCAGAGCCUUUGUACUUGCUGCUCUCACUGCCUGGAACAGUCUUCUUCCCAGAUAAUCUGGUGGCUUGCCCGCCCACUUCCAGUAUGCUCAAGUGACACCUCCCUAGAGAACCAUUCCCUGACCAGCGUAUCUAAACUAGUCCCAUUCACCUGUACUUUCCAUCCCCUUAUCUUACUUUAUGUCUUACGUUUUUCUACAAAGAACUGAUCACCACCUGAUAUAUUUCAUAUUUAUUUAUUGUGAUUAGUGUUUGCCUCUCCCCAAUAGACUGUAAGCUCCACAAAGCAGGGACUUUUGUUUUGUUCACUGUUGUAUCCCUACUGCCAAGAACAGUGCAUAGUAAUAUUUAGUAGAUGCUCAAUAAAUAUUUG